Long non-coding RNA from Labrus mixtus (cuckoo wrasse), 336 nucleotides. RefSeq lists it as uncharacterized. NCBI's taxonomy places the organism in Eukaryota, Metazoa, Chordata, Actinopteri, Labriformes, Labridae. The transcript has 2 exons. The record is from RefSeq and is a predicted model, not a curated record.
UUGUUUCAUUGCAUCGGAUCCCAAGAUGGAUUUAAGGAUGUUAUAAAUGACCUGUGUCUUUAAGAGUGUGUUAUAUGCUUUAUGAAAAGUUCUCAAGUCUCAGUUUGAUUUGAAACGGUUUGUGAAACAUUAUCCUGGAGAAAUGUCAACUUUCAUCAAGUCAAAGAUCAUUUGUAUAACACCCUGGUUCAGGUCAAGGCGGGGUCGUAAUCAGGGGAUGAGCUGCACCUUGGCCCGGUGUAGUCCUCAUAUAAUCCUCUUCUCAGGACAGACGCUCUCUCUCUCACCUUGUUCUCACAUUUGAUCAUUGUAAAUAAAUGUGGUGUUAUUUUGGUA